UUCAAGUCUAACAACCUCAGCU
RNAcentral lists this microRNA (22 nucleotides) under Eugenia uniflora (Surinam cherry). Its description in RNAcentral is "eun-miR10219-5p". The record is from miRBase by way of RNAcentral. Lineage: Eukaryota; Viridiplantae; Streptophyta; Magnoliopsida; Myrtales; Myrtaceae.